Molecule: ribosomal RNA, 253 nt
Filed under: uncultured bacterium
Lineage: Bacteria
Description: partial 16S ribosomal RNA
Rfam family: Bacterial small subunit ribosomal RNA
Source: RNAcentral
UACGUAGGGGCCUAGCGUUGUCCGGAUUUACUGGGCGUAAAGAGCGUGUAGGCGGCCAAACAGGUCCGUUGUGAAAACUGGAGGCUUAACCUCCAGACGUCGACGGAAACCGUAUGGCUAGAGUCCGGAAGAGGAGAGUGGAAUUCCUGGUGUAGCGGUGAAAUGCGCAGAUAUCAGGAAGAACACCAAUGGCGAAGGCAGCUCUCUGGGACGGUACUGACGCUGAGACGCGAAAGCGUGGGGAGCGAACAGG